CCCCGUACGCCGUACGGGGCCGCAAUUCAGCAUUAGUAACCAAGGGGGUCUGCUCGUG
Non-coding RNA from Salmonella enterica subsp. enterica serovar Newport, 58 nucleotides. The record is from Rfam. Lineage: Bacteria; Pseudomonadati; Pseudomonadota; Gammaproteobacteria; Enterobacterales; Enterobacteriaceae.